GCAACCCCUCCAAAAUAACUUAACAAAGGACAAUAAAUGUGGGGUGGGGGGAGUAGAGUGGAUGUAAUACUUUCUUCUUUGUGCCCGAAGCCACCUGUUCUGAGAACUGUCUGCCUUGCUAAUUGCGUGGAUAAACAGUCUGUCACGAUUAGUCAGCAGGGUGAAGAGGCAGACAAGCGAGGUUGUUUGUAGGCGCCAGGAUCGGCGACAUCAAAGGCGAUCUCCUUGGGGGGACGCCGUGGAAAGUUUGGCCGGCUCCAGCAGCGACCCGCCCCCGCCGAACACGCCUCAACCCCCGGGCUGAGCCGAUUCCAGAGCCCUGUCCUGGCUUUGAAAUCAAGGAUGGGAAAAGAAAGCAAGCGAAAAAAAAGAACACGGCGUAUAAACUUGUAAAACACCAGCUUGCCAGUAGGGUUUAAAGUGAACAUCCUGAAUGUAAAAUGCACGCGGCCCAAUGCAUUCCAAUACAGAGUUUAUUAGUACAGUGAAAAGAUCUAAUGACAACAUACUUUUUUUCUAAAAAAAAUGUAUCAUUAUUGAAUUGCAAGAGUCAAGUUUCCGAAAAUUAUAGCUAUGCGGCGGAUUCACAUUUAAUACUCCCGAACAACUUCUGAACGGGUACAUUGCACAUAUGAAUCCUUAAACAAACUUCUUUAACAGAAUAGGACGAAAUGUUCUCAGUUUUCCAUUUCAAAAGUAAAUAUUCACUCCCGGUGUUUGUAUCAGGGUCAGAUAUAUUGUUGAUGUCUACGUUUUAGAAAGAAUUGGAUUUGUCCUAAAACAACUCUGCGGCAGUUUUCACGCACAGGUGCGGACAGGUGAGAUAUGACCUGUGGUGUGCACAAUCUGAAGCCUUUAAAUUGAGCUUAAUUAUAUUAUACAGCAAUGCAGAAAAUUGAAGCAGGCAGCACGUGUCCAUCAACCAGAGUUAAACAUAUAACUUGCAGAUUCUAUGUUAAGGAGCUCAUUGCAUUCAAUUAUCAUAUGUCAGGGCAAGAUGGCAUCCUUGGGAUACAUAGGUCGACUAGGGACUUUCGACAAGAACUGUGAAACCUUUACCCCGUACUGUGAGCGAAUGGAAAUGUUUUUUAUUGCAAAUUACAUUAUUGAAGCUGAAGAAACAGAGGAUGAGGAUCAAGUGCAGGUGUCAUAUUCUGAAUACGUUUUGGAAGGAUUUUCUGCACAUAAAGGCAAGCAGAUGGCGCCUGUGUGUGAUGGAAUCAUGCGAUUAGCAGACAGAGUGGGUGCUGAAAAUCUAAUGAAAAUCUUUCGAGAAUUGAACCGGAUGAGUGGCUGGAAAUUGACAAGGAUGUAACAGAGACAUUAAAUACUGAUGAAAUCAUAAAAUCACAUAAACCUAAAGUUCAAGAAGACGAAAGUGAAGAUGGAGGGGAACCAUAGAAUGAAGUCGCUUGGAAAAUAGCUGUUGAAGAAUUUGAAACUUGUUUAGCAAUGAAGCUGCUCUUCUCCACAAACCUUCUUCAUUCAUACUUCUUGCAUGAGAUAAGGAAGACUUGCAAGCAAGCAGGCAGGAUUCAUUCAAGAAGCCUAGUUAGCUCAAAUCUUCCUAGCCUUUGACUUGGACCCAUGAAAAUUCUAUUGGAGUCAUGGUCAUAGUCAUACAGUGUGGAAACAGGCCUUUCUGCCCAACUUGCCCAUACCGUCCAACAUGUCCCAGCUACACUAGUCCCACUUACCUGCAUUUGGUCCAUUAUCCCUCCAAACUUGUCCUAUUGAACCUGAUGAAAUGAGAAUCCAGAACACAGGAAAUAAAUUACAUUGCUCUUUUGACAUUUAGAAUUAGUGAUUUUUGUUUAAGUGAUAGUUUAUCCAAUGCUAGGCUAUGCAUAAAAAUCCAUGCAUAACCAAAAUUGUUUGUUUUUAUAAAAUAUACUCAAACAUUAAAUUUUAUUUCAAGUGUUUUGCAAAGUAAAUGUGUUCAGUUUAUUUAAAUAUAUACACACGGGCAGUGCAGGUAUAGGCUAAUUAGCAGCAACAUCAUCUGAAAAUGUGGAACUUCCUGCGAUGGUGAGGUCAUUCAUUCCUUUGAUUUUAUUUUGCUGUUAUUUUUAUGUUAAUACUGUUUUAGCUUUAAAAUAUAACAUUGGAGUGUAAAACAUUACAAUUGGAGUGUACAGUGAACCCUCAUUAUAACAGACCAUAGUGGGGGCAGGGGGUGAGCGGUGUCCAUUAUUGCCGAUCAUCUGCUAUAACAGAGUAAGGUAUUAUCCUUGUAUGCAGUUGAAACAAAGAAUUGCAGAUGGUGGUAAAAGGACAUAAAGUGCUGGAGUAACUCAACGCAUCUCUGAAGAACAUGGAUUGGUGCCGCAAGGACCCAUCUUCAGAUUGAUUUAGUUUGCUGAGUUACACCCGUACUUUCUGCAGUUUCACAAUGCCGCUGGUCUGCACCAGCAAGCCUCUCCCCAUUAUCUACCCAAAAGUCUGGCAAUGCAACCCCCAGCCAUCAGCUCACCCCUGAGUCCACCACCAUCGACAAGACUGACAAGACACAUCUGGCCACCGCGGGCCCCUCCCAUCCUGCUAAGCGCCAUCACCUGCCCACUGUGAGACCUGCAAGAGAUGGGUCUUGACACAAUCAAAAAGUUGACACAAUCAAAAAGUUAUUAGGAUGCUGUUUUAGCAAGAGUAUCCUAUCCUUCAACAGCGUGCCUGCAGUGUACACUAUCUAAAAGAUACAUCAUAGAAACUUGCCAAGACAAAUUACAUGUGCGAUUUGAGUUAUUAUAAAAAAGGUAUUCAAAAGAGAAUCGAAAUUCAUCCAUAGUCUCCAAAGUUAUACUUUACUUCGCAACGUUAUGUUGUAUAUUGGCCCUGAGAUUCUGUUGCAUUGAUUAGAACUACAGACUUGGGGUGUUCUAACACUUAUGUUUAAUCCAUACACUUAUGUUUAAGACUGCAAUUAGAAUUUAAUGUCCUGAUUUGGAUGUGUAUUUAUAAGAAUGGCACAAUAGCAAUGGACUUAGUGCAAAAUUCAGUUUUGCUGAUUUCAAUGGAAGUGAAUUUCUGAAGCUUCAUGCAACAUGCUUACUCAGCGCAUUGAAUGCAUCGUAUGCCUUGAUACUCAAAGAUAGGAUGAUUAAAGGAUGAAAUUUAAUUGGAGCAUUCAAAAUUGUGAAAUCUUUUAACAUUCUCUGACUUGGUUGAUAGUUUAUUAUCAAAUUUAAGAUAAUUUGCAAAUGACAAUGGUAAAGGCCAAUGCAGCUUUGUGUGCAGUUAGUGAUUAGAGCAUGGUUCAUCCUGCUACACACACUGACAGCAAUGGCAUUCUUCAAAGACUGAUUGAGAAAUGGUUGAAUGGAUGGCUUUCAGAGAGCUGGCAAAAGCGCAGUUUGCCAAAUGGCUUCAUGCUGUGCUCUAGCAUUUUACAGAGUAGAAAAUUGUCCUUGAUCACAUGUGCAAAAUGCACAAUGUAAUAGCACGGGAAAUUCAUUUUCAUGAAGUUAACGGAGUUGAAUUUCAGAUGGGCCACUCGUUACAUCUUUACAUCUACGCAGAUAUGUCUUCAAACAAUGAACCGUAUCAAAGCUUCUGCUUAUAUAGUUUGUUCCUCCAGUAUCUGUAUUUUGUAGCCGACGAAGGUGGAUACUCCCAGAAACUCAGCAGCCAGUCUGGGCACAGUCACUUCCAUAAACACAAAUGGCAUAGUAACAAAAGAAUUAGCUUCAUACUAAAGGAUAUUAUUUUAAGGAUAUAAUACUAAAUAUCCCAAAACACUGAGCUAACUCCCCCAUUUUUAGGGAGACAGGAGGAAAUGCAGAUGCUGGAAUCUUGAGGAAACCACAGAGUGCUGGAGCAACUCAUUGGGUCUGGUUGAGCUGCCUGACCCACUGAGUUACCCCAACACUUUGUGUUCUACUCCCCCAUUUUAGUGUCUACCCAAGUGAACAAAGUGGGCUUAGUUUAAAAUCUUAUUUGAACAACUGUAUUUCCAACAUUCCCAAAUUACUGCAUUGGGGUAUUUCCAGAUUGAGAUUUUUUACAGACUCAGGAAAUAAGAAUCCUUCAAAUUAACACAUAGCCAGCACUAGAAAGUACAAAUAGAACAACAAGCACUAAGCAAGUCUUGAAAGCAACACUGCAAAAUGAUAUGCAGCUUUAAACAACAAAGUCUAUUAAAAGCUGGCCAUAUGAGAGCCAUAUGCUAUUUUUCAUGGGCAGUAAUCUUGUAGGUUUCAAAGUUUUUCGGAUUCCUGGUAUUUUGGGGGAAUUAAUUACAUUGUAUCUGAAUUAUAUUGCAAAGUAUAUUGAGGUGCCUACUGAAUAUUCAGUUUUUGACCGCAACCAUUUAAAUUCCAGAUCUUCUGGCUGGAUUUUCUGCUCCAAGCUCCAAGCUCCAAGCUCUGAAUGCCAGUUCAUUGUGGAUUCCUGUGGGGAACAAAGUUUUCCUUCCAUCAUUCAUUCACUUAACAUUCAGGCGUGCAGAAUCAAUGGGUUCCCUUGGAUCAACAUGGUGAAGCUCAGUUCCAACAUCCCUUUCAUUGAUUUGAACUCUAACAAUUUUACCUUCCAUAAACUAGGACAUUGACUGAUUUAUUUAAUCACCACUGAGCCAAAACGUUACAGUUAACACUGCAGGGAAAUCCCAUUGAAAUCUACUUGUUAAAAGUUCACACAAACAGUGUUGCCGUAUGACAUCUUCCUUAACCUAGUUAACAAGGUCCCAAUUAGCAGCAGGCUCUUAUGUGAAGUAUUGCCAUUAUUGGAUUGGCCGGAGAAAGCCCUGCUCACAAAACAACUGAGAAUAAACUUCAGCACAUUCUGAACCACUUAAUAACCAAUGGAACAAUAAAAAGUAUUUCUAGAUUAUUUACCAAAAGAUUUUA
Long non-coding RNA from Leucoraja erinaceus (little skate), 4844 nucleotides. RefSeq lists it as uncharacterized. The transcript has 4 exons. NCBI's taxonomy places the organism in Eukaryota, Metazoa, Chordata, Chondrichthyes, Rajiformes, Rajidae. The record is from RefSeq and is a predicted model, not a curated record.